This 2933-nucleotide long non-coding RNA is filed under the name Brassica napus (rape). RNAcentral's name for it is "long non-coding RNA (BNAP_LNC016431)". Lineage: Eukaryota; Viridiplantae; Streptophyta; Magnoliopsida; Brassicales; Brassicaceae. The record is from RNAcentral.
GUGAUCCUAACAAGGGGUUCUUAAUGAAAAGCAAAAAAAAAAAAAAAUCAAAAUACCUAAAUACAAGAGAACCGGGUCUUGAUUGGGGGGGGAGGGGUUUAGGAUUGGUUAGGAACCUUAUGUGUCAGUAUCCUAUUCGCCCACCCUUUGAUUUUUCUUUCUCUCCUUCGCGUCGCGGUAAUGAAGGUGGAAGAUGAUCAAAGUCUAGAAAUUGUACGGAACUGAAACCUGAGGAGAAGAAUCUGUAACGAUCAGACACAACAAAAUAUAUCUUAGAAAAGAGAUUGAGAAAGGAGCUGAGUUAAUGUACGAUGAUCAAAGACCAAAUAAAGGGUUGAAAAAACAAGAGAUCUGAUUUUUUGUCUGAUCACAUCUCCAUGUUUAGACAAAAAAAAACUCACUGGAUGAUAAACAAAAUCUCAGUGAAGACAAUGCGAGAGAGAUGAUUGUUUACCAAUGAGUUUGAAUAAGCAAGAUUAACAUAUAAAAUCACCAAUCGGCAAAAGGUGAUGAAGGGAGAUUAAAAUAAAAUUAGAGAAAUUAGGAGCUACACCAAAUAAGUUUGACAUAUUUAGUUAUCUGCCAAAUUGAACUGUUCGCGGAAUGAGUGUGAUGUUUUUGGACUCUUCUACCCCUACUCACACUGCCAUGUAAAAUACUAUGGCUGGGCAAAAAAUCCGAAUCCGAAGAACCGAACCGAACCCGAUCCGAAAAUGUAGUACCGAAUCCGAACCGAAAUUGAUUAAAUAUCCGAACGGGUUCAAAAUUUUGGUAUCUAGAGAACCGAAACCGAACCCGACCCGAACCGAAGUAUUUCGGGUACCCGAAUGUAUCCGAAAUAGAUUUAUAUAUCUAAAUAUAUUAAUUAUUUUUAGAUUCAAUGUAUAUUAAAAACAUUCAAAAUAUAUAAGAUACUUUUAAGUUGUCUAAAAUACUUGAAAAUAUAUACAAAUAUUCAAAAGUAAAUUUCUAAAAUAGUAUAAAAUAUACUCAAAACACCAAAAAUAGUUGAAAUGUCUACUGAUUGUCUAUCAAAAUAUUCAAACAAACCAAUUUAUAUGUUAAGUUUAGGUACUCUGACAUAUGUUAUUCAAGUUUAUAUGUUAUAUAGUAUUUUAUUUACAGAUUUUGAGAAAUUGAAACUAUAUAUUGAAUUUUAAAAUUUUAAAAAUCAUUUAAAUGGGUUAUCCGAACCCGAACCGAACCCGCAAAGAUCCGAACCGAACCCGAACCGAAAUUUAGAAAUACCCGAAUGGAGCUAAAAUCUUUAACCCCGAAAACCCGAAACCCGAAUAAACCCGAACCGAACCCGAAUGGGUACCCGAACGCCCACCCCUAUAAAAUACUAUUGUGUCAGGCAAAAUCUUACGAAGAGAUUUUGUAAUAUUUUAUUCUCUGCGUGCAAGAUUGUUCCAAGAUAUUACAAUACCAUUUAACUUUUAUUAUACUUUUUGAAUUCCAAAAUAGGUUCAUAUUUUUCUCUUUCAUCUCUCCAAAUAAACUCUCUGUUCCGUAAUUCUCUUUCUCUCCAAAGAACGUGCAACAGAAUCACAUUUCCUCUCUUCAGCUCCCAUCUAUGCAACUCGCCGGUCAGAUUCCUGAGUCUCUCAAGCUCUGUUGUAGUUUAAAAUCACUAAAUUCUUAGGAAAAGAUUUUUCCGGUACGACUCCUUCUCAAAUUUGCUUGUGACUUCCUGAUAAUAAAUUCUCUGGCUCGACCCUGCCACAGAUCGUUGAGUUUAAGUUCAAGAACGCUCUUGUUUUAGUGACGACAAGGUCUGAGGUUUGGUUCCUUCUGUAUUAAGCCGGUUAGAUCGUCUUUCUUUGGCUGGGAACAAUCUCUCUGGUACGAUUCUGUUCGAGCUGUCUCGUUUUGGAGAAGAUAAUUUUGUCGCAAAUAACGGUCUUGCGAUUAAAUUGCGGAGGAUGUUGGGUUUUGAUGGUGGUUAUGAUUAAAGUGCUUAUGGUGGAAGAAGCUGUUAGAUGUUACUCUUGUUGGAUAGACAUUUACAUUAUUGUCGAGACAAUACAAACUUUAACCAUAUAUUAUUUUACGUAGAUGUUAAAGACAGUUGAAAGAACCUGUACAUAGACGGAAAUCAUUUUAUUUACACGGGUUAUAAAUAAGUAAAUUGUAACGUAAGUUGUGUUAGACGGCUACAAUAAUUUUUGAUGCAUCGUCACAAACCAAAAAUAAUAGACAGUUAUAUAAUUUAUUAGUCAAGAUACUUAAUAUUUUAUCUCAAGUAACCCAUUUUCUAAAAAUGUAAGUAUUAUAUUAGCUGUCCAACAAUUUGAUAUGCACCAAUGAACAAACAUGCCUAAACAUUAUUUGUAUGUUCAUUUCAUAUGAUAUAGCUAUGAUCUUGAUUCUUAUGGUACCUAAGAAUGUGAUAUACAGAAUUCAAACAUGUUUUAUCCCAAAUAACUUGUUUGUUAACCAUGUAAAUAUUAUAUUAACCGUCUAAUAAUUUGAUGUUACCAAAAAAUCAGUUUUUACCCUAAGUUAACUCAUUUUCUAACCGUGUAUAUAUUAUAUUAAACGAUCUGACAUUUCCAACGAAUACAUAUACAUAAGCAUUAUUAACAUGUUCAUUCAAUAUGUCACAGCUAUGAUCUUGACUUCUUAAUCUUAUGAUAUCAAUUCUUGUUAGUAUGUUCAUUAUUCAUAUUUUUAUAUCUCUUUGGAAUUGAUCCUUGAGACUUGUUGUUAAACGUCAGGGUUGAAAAAACAAGAGAUCUGAUUUUUUGUCUGAUCACAUCUCCAUGUUUAGACAAAAAAAAACUCACUGGAUGAUAAACAAAAUCUCAGUGAAGACAAUGCGAGAGAGAUGAUUGUUUACCAAUGAGUUUGAAUAAGCAAGAUUAACAUAUAAAAUCACCAAUCGGCAAAAGGUGAUGAAGGGAGAUUAAAAUAAAAUUAGAGAAAUUAGG